Crotalus tigris (Tiger rattlesnake) is the source of this 2906-nucleotide long non-coding RNA. RefSeq lists it as uncharacterized. The record is from RefSeq and is a predicted model, not a curated record. Lineage: Eukaryota; Metazoa; Chordata; Lepidosauria; Squamata; Viperidae. The transcript has 3 exons.
CAACAGUCCUAAUCACAUUAAACAUAUGCAACAAAAGCAUAGUUAUUUCUCAGCAAGACUGGCUGAACCUUUAGUAGAGUGAGGUAACUGUCUCAGGUAACUGAUUUGGAUAUUUUGAGAAGUCAAAUGAUUAUUUAUUUUUGGAUUUCUGCUGUGAGGUUUUUCUUGCAAAGCCCUUAAUAAGUUGCCUGACUUCGGCUACAGAGCACUCUGCCUUUGAUUGCGAUGGUUUCUCUGGGUUGAAUAAGUGUGCAUGACAUUAUCCUGAGCCUACCAGAUCAUCUUCCUCAGUAUAAAUAUCUUCAUGGAGAGAAUGGAUUCAUUAGUUCUAAUCUAUGAGACAAUAACCCUCUGAUAGAUAUUAAUAUUUCUUCAGUUUUAGAUAAUAAAAUAACUUAACCGUCUGUUGAUAUACUGUAUUGGACUGAAACCCCCCAAAGACCCAACCCAAAAUAAACCUCAUUAUGGCUUAGUACAAUGUGUUCUCACAGUCACUAUGACAAUAAAAGUUAAGAGGCUGGUUAAUCUAUUUUCCUGUCCAUCUCUAGCCAACCUAAUUUAUACCCUUUGUUGGUUUAGCCACUCUGUUUCUGACUAAGUGAACUACUAAAGAAAAGAAAAGAAAAGAAAAGAAGAAACUUUUAUUAACAUUUGUUGAUCUGAAAUGAUGCAACAUGUUCCUUCAGUUUUUUUAACCACCAUAGACUUAAUGGCUCCCCUUUCAUCAUGCCAAUGAAGAUAAUUCUAUCUCAUAGAUAAUUUAAAGAGCUUUCUAUAGAAAUUGUCUUCCAUUAAAAAAAAACUCAGUUCUUUCCAUUUGACUCAAUAGCAUGCCUUUAUUCUUCACUGAUAUUUCAGUGUGUUUUGCUAAUUUUAUUUAUUAAUGGUUUGUUAUUAUUUUAAUUUAUAUAUGAACUUUCUGUUAAUUUAGUUUAUAUUAUGCUUUUGCAAGAUAUUUAUGUACCAUAGAAAAUAUAACUUUGAGAUAUUGAAAUUUUGUAUUUAAGAUGAUACUUAAAUAUUAUUAACUAAUUUAAUUUUUAAAUGGCAUAUAUCUUUAAAUUCCUUUCAAUCUUUUAAAAUGUCUUCUGUUCCUAAAUGCUAAAGUGACUAUUAUAUCAACUGCUACUAAUAAUCGCUACUGCUUCUAGCCAAGUAAGGUAAUUUAAUGUAUUUUACAGGAAUAUGUCUAUGUAUUCAGAUGAUUUAUUUCUAGUUAAGUUUAUAUCAAAUUAUAAGCUCAUUUUCCAACCCUGAAAUUUCUAGAAUAUGAAACUGCUCAAUAGGGGCCAUCUGUUAUACAUCUAAAAAUGUUUAACUUGAAUUUUGUUACAAUGGAAUACCAGUUGGUGAAAUAAUAGUUAUUUAUUAAGUAGCUUCCUGUUCUGUUGCCUCUUUUGUCUGUGGGUGCAUAUAGUUCCUAAUACUUUGUUAUUAUGUUUUAUUCCCUUCCUUAAAAUUAUUUUCUUUUUAAAAUUGAGCCAUUUCUUAAGUGAUUUCCAAUAGAUAUUGCCCGGUAUUGUCAUAAGCAACUUUUAAAACAUUUAUAUGAAAGAAGAAAUUAUUCUGUGCAUUUUUGAAGAGAAAUCUGUAUUUAAUUUGCUCCAAAUGCCAAAAUCUGAUAAAUUUGCUUCACCGGGUAGCAACAUUUUUGUAACUGAUACCUAUUGACUACAAAGUUAAACCAGUUUCUAAAAGAGAGAGAUGAUGUAACUAGAGUAAAAUGUCUGAGUUCUCAAAGUUUUAUGAGCUUUGCAUUUGUGUACUUAGUCAUAAGGCUUUAAGCUAUUAUCUAUAUGCAUAGAAUCAAACACAAAAGACUGAUUCACCCUUGAACUCAGAAAUGGGAAAGAUACUGUACUAACAGAAGUUUGGAACUGUAGAAUCACUGCAUUCUUGUAAUCUUAAAAGUAUAAUGCUAGAUCUAUUCCCUUUGAAAGCAAUUCCUAUUGUAUACAGGAAGUGUAACUCCAAGAUAAAUAUGCACCAAAUUUCAACCCUACAUUUAUUUAUAUAGAAAAGUUCAUUUCUUAAGCGUUUGAAACAUAAUGAUUUAACAAUGCAUGAUAACCAUUAAACAACUUAUUUGCCAAAUGUUCCCCAUAUACUUAUUUCAAAUAUGAGUGCAGGAGAAUUUUAAAGCUUACAUGUUUUAUCUUAUUUUAUUAACAGCUUAAAAUUAAAUACCUAGCAAAAAGUAUUUUUUCACCCUAGAUAAAGCUCACCAGGAGUCCAACUAGUAAUUAUCACAAACUGAUGAAAGAAUGAGCUCCUAUUUUAACACAUUGACUCCUAUCCAAAGUUACAUUUUGACAUAUUAAAGGAAGAGAAAAUAGAGGGUGCCACCAUGUUUUUCCCAUUGAAUUUGUGAUACUUUCCCAUUAAAGUUCUCUGGUGAAACUUUUACCAGGGUUGGCUAAACACCCACACAAUUACAGACUUCUGAUUCUGGAUGGAAUUGUAAAUGAAUUUAUGCAGAUUUCAAUAAAAAUUGGUCAUUUCAGAAAUGUCUACUCAAUCACAAAUGUCAAAGAUAGAACAGGCUAGCAGAAAAGUCUGGGAAAAUACAGGCAGGCUUUCCUAUAUAAUAUUAGAUAAGCUAGGAAAAGAAGCCAAUCUUACACUACUAUGGAGCAAAUGUAUCAACUGCAUAAAAGUCUUUUACAUCAUUAUUCAUUUUAUCAUAUAUGACAACUGCAGAUAGUCCUCAACUGCUCACCACAAUUGUGCCCAAGCCGGUUGUGAAGCGAGUUUUGCUCCAGUUUCUUUGCCAUAGUUAAUUACUGGAGUUAUUAAGUUAAACAAAUGCCAGUUGCUGAGUGUCCAAAUUUUGAUCACAUGACUGUGGCGAUGCUGCAAUGGUCAUAAGCAGGGCUUUUUUUCUCAUAGAACGCCCAGAAUGGAGU